ACCGCGGUAGCCCAGGUGGUUAGGGCGUCGCGUCGGCAGUACCUACUGAUGCCGAAGGUAGCAGGUUCAAAUCCUGCCUGCGGUG
Phthorimaea operculella (potato tuberworm) is the source of this 85-nucleotide non-coding RNA. The record is from the annotation of a GenBank genome assembly. Lineage: Eukaryota; Metazoa; Arthropoda; Insecta; Lepidoptera; Gelechiidae.